RNAcentral lists this long non-coding RNA (200 nucleotides) under Gossypium barbadense (sea-island cotton). Its description in RNAcentral is "long non-coding RNA (GBAR_LNC008315)". Lineage: Eukaryota; Viridiplantae; Streptophyta; Magnoliopsida; Malvales; Malvaceae. The record is from RNAcentral.
UGUCCGAUCUGUUCUUUCUCGACUUGCUGUCGGAGGGGAUGAUAGAUCAGAUGUUCGCUCAUAUCCAAGACGCAAGGUUAUUGAUGAAUUCGCUUCAUUCAUGUAGAGUUCGUCAUAUUUACGGAGAAUGUAAUCAGCCUGCUCAUUUACUCACGAUUGAAGGCUUCGCCAGAGGUGAUUCUGUAUAUUGUGGAUCGAAG